UCUUUUAGACAUCGUAUGGUCAUCGCGCCAUCAUCGUAAUCCAUCUUGUAGCCUUCGUAAUCCAUCGUGUAGCCUUCGUGAUCCAUCGUAUAGGCUUCGGCUGAGAUAUGAAGCUUAAAUACCCGUCUUCGGUUAACCUUCGUAUGUCCAUCUUUUGCUAUCGUAUAUAAUUUCGGCACCAUCGUAUAGACUUCGUUAUUCAUCGUACUUGCUUCGGUCACUUUUUGACAUUUUAACGAGAUCGGGACC
Molecule: long non-coding RNA, 249 nt
Filed under: Mytilus galloprovincialis (Mediterranean mussel)
Lineage: Eukaryota; Metazoa; Mollusca; Bivalvia; Mytilida; Mytilidae
Source: RNAcentral